RNAcentral lists this unclassified non-coding RNA (233 nucleotides) under plant metagenome. Its description in RNAcentral is "partial contains small subunit ribosomal RNA, internal transcribed spacer 1, and 5.8S ribosomal RNA". The record is from RNAcentral.
UCUCCGUUGGUGAACCAGCGGAGGGAUCAUUACCGAGUUUUUCUACUCCUAAACCCCUGUGAACUUAUACCUUUACUGUUGCUUCGGCGGGUUAACGCCCCGGAAGGCCCAAAAAGCCGCCGGAACCAGGCGCCCGCCGGGGGACCCAAACUCUUGUAUUUCUUACUUUGCAUGCCUGAGUGGAAUCAUAAACAAAUGAAUCAAAACUUUCAACAACGGAUCUCUUGGUUCUG